GGCGAAGCGGAAGGCAGCGCCUCUUGGUCUUUCUCCGAGGAGGUGGCUCUCAAAGCUCAGGGAGGCCAGGACCCGGUGGAUGCGGGAUUCACAGCCAUCUCCUGUCUCCCUUUGGAGUGCCAGGGCUCGGACGGACCCCAGAGAGCCUGGCAUCAGAGCUCACGGAACAUUUCUUUCCGAGGUGCGAGAGCUGAGCAUCCCUGAAGGUCCUGUCAGACAUCAGCCAGCCAGGAGAGCCGCACGCCUGCCCUUCCCACCUCUGCUCGGGGUGCUGUCUGAAGCCCUGGCCACUGGAAUGUGCACCUGCCACUGUCCUUUGGAGCCUCCUCUUGUGUGCUGGGCAGGCACCAGAGUCCCCUCUUGGCUUGUCUGGGGUAGAUCUGCCUCUGGUCACCCAUGCAUCCUGCCACUGAGCACUGGGUGCCUGCCGGGUAUCACGAGCUGUCCCCUCCCUGCUGAGCACAGAGAGAGCUCAUGGGUGUGGCCCAGCCUGGGAGUCAGAGAGGAGUCAGAGAAGACAGGAGGCCGGUGCAUGUCCUCCAUCCAGACCCUCCCUGAACAGAGUUGUCACUGCGGCAGUCACACCACAAGUCCGUCUGAACCCAGGACGUCCCUGUGAACCUGAGGAGUCUCCUCGCUCCCAGCCUCACUUUCCGGCAGCAUUCUCCCUGCGGCUGGAUGGGGAGUGGAAACAUGAAUGGACCAAGCCCUGCUCUGCUGGAGGUGCCCAUGGUGCCACCUGCCCACCACUGUCCUGGCUCUGUGGAUGCCCAGCUGGCCCGCCCUGGCACCCAUGCCUCCCCCAGGCCCCUGCCAGGUGACCCUCUCUGUGCCUGGCUCUAAAGGCCCCUUGAAAGCCCCAGGCCGAGGUAAUCACCCUUCUUUAUAGCUCUUCUCUGCCUCAAGGGUCCCCUUGUCACCCCAAGUACC
Molecule: long non-coding RNA, 930 nt
Filed under: Fukomys damarensis (Damara mole-rat)
Lineage: Eukaryota; Metazoa; Chordata; Mammalia; Rodentia; Bathyergidae
Description: lncRNA (ENSFDAG00000028803.1)
Source: RNAcentral